GUAGGUGGCAAGCGUUGUCCGGAAUUAUUGGGCGUAAAGCGCGCGCAGGCGGGUCCUUUAAGUCUGAUGUGAAAGCCCACGGGCUCAACCGUGGAGGGUCAUUGGAAACUGGGGGACUUGAGUACAGAAGAGGAAAGCGGAAUUCCACGUGUAGCGGUGAAAUGCGUAGAGAUGUGGAGGAACACCAGUGGCGAAGGCGGCUUUCUGGUCUGUAACUGACGCUGAGGCGCGAAAGCGUGGGGAGCAAACAGGAUUAGAUACCCUGGUAGUCCACGCCGUAAACGAUGAGUGCUAAGUGUUACGGGGGUUUCCGCCCCUUAGUGCUGCAGCUAACGCAUUAAGCACUCCGCCUGGGGAGUACGGCCGCAAAGGCUG
This 375-nucleotide ribosomal RNA is filed under the name uncultured organism. RNAcentral's name for it is "partial 16S ribosomal RNA". It matches the Rfam family "Bacterial small subunit ribosomal RNA", at positions 527 to 896 of the family's 1533-position model. The record is from RNAcentral.